This 253-nucleotide ribosomal RNA is filed under the name uncultured bacterium. RNAcentral describes it as "partial 16S ribosomal RNA". It matches the Rfam family "Bacterial small subunit ribosomal RNA", at positions 524 to 776 of the family's 1533-position model. The record is from RNAcentral.
UACGGGGGGAGCAAACGUUGUUCGGAAUCACUGGGCGUAAAGAGCUCGUAGGCGGUUUGUCGCGUCUGCUGUGAAAACUCGGGGCUUAACCCCGGGCCUGCAGUGGGUACGGGCAGACUAGAGUGCGGUAGGGGAGACUGGAAUUCCUGGUGUAGCGGUGAAAUGCGCAGAUAUCAGGAGGAACACCGGUGGCGAAGGCGGGUCUCUGGGCCGAUACUGACGCUGAGGAGCGAAAGCGUGGGGAGCGAACAGG